AUUUAACGCUGGCGGCAGGCCUAACACAUGCACGUCGAACGAGUGGCGGACGGGUGAGUACUGUCUGGGCAACUGCCCGAUGGAGGGGGCUAACUCCUGGAAACGGUCGCUAAUACCGCAUACCAUCGGAUGUGCCCAGCUGGGAUUAGCUAGUCGGUGGGGUAAUGGCGCACCUAGGCGACGAUCCCUAGCUGGCCUGAGAGGAUGACCGGGCACACUGGAACUGAGACACGGACCAGACUCCUACGGGAGGCAGCAGGGGGGAAUAUUGCACAAUUGGCGCAAGCCUGAUGCAGCCAUGCCGCGUGUAUGAAGAAGGCCUUCGGGUUGUAAAGUACGUUCAGCGAGGAGGCGUUACUCGCAGAAGAAGCGCCGGCUAACUACGUGCCAGCAGCCGCGGUAAUUC
Molecule: ribosomal RNA, 406 nt
Filed under: uncultured bacterium
Lineage: Bacteria
Description: partial 16S ribosomal RNA
Rfam family: Bacterial small subunit ribosomal RNA
Source: RNAcentral